CAAGCUUCAAACUUAAAAGACCUGGCGGUACUCUAAAUAAACCUAGAGGGGCCUGUCUAGUAAUCGAUAAUCCACGAAAAACCCAACCUCUUCUGGCCAAAUCAGCCUGUAUACCGCCGUCGAAAGCUAAUUUUUCAAGAAAUAUAAAGCUAAAAAGUACAGUUAACUAACACGUCAGGUCAAGGUGUAGCACAUGAAGAGGAUAAGAUUGGCCACAGUA
This 220-nucleotide ribosomal RNA is filed under the name Coryphophylax subcristatus. RNAcentral describes it as "partial 12S ribosomal RNA". The record is from RNAcentral. Lineage: Eukaryota; Metazoa; Chordata; Lepidosauria; Squamata; Agamidae.